CACUAUGAGACAAGGAUGUCCUUUUUACCACUGAGCUUGUUCUAAGUUUCCUCUGGACCUCCUCUGUUGAUAAGCUAGUGGGGACUUGAGGAGUGAGGCUGGAAGUCCAGCCUCCCUGCCAACACCUCAGGGAUGAAGGACAGUUGCUCUGAUUCAUUUCUGGACUUCAGUGGAAGAAGCAGCCCUUAUUUAGGAUAUUGUUAGUCUUUGGCAGAGGGAAUACAAAGCAAUGGAAGGGUGAUGUGAUGGCUCCGAAAGCUUCUGUUGGAUGUAGAAUAUAAAGUUUGCUCACCUUUUUUAAUCCAAAGAGAAAAACAAGGAGAGAAAAAUCUAAACCCAGCAGAAGAGAAAGUUUAAGAAAGCGGUCGUCGCCAAUACCAAAAUUAGCUAUGAUAUUCAGGAAGAAAAAAAUGGAAACACGAUAACCACAGUCAAUAAAGACCAAGGCCACAUUCCAUUGACCAGAGCUCAGCCACGCGCCACACCUGGCUAAAGAGACUCUGGCUGAAGAAUUCCCUGAAUAUUUUAAUGUAGCUCUAGGUUAUAACACAGAACAACCACAAGGUGGCAGAAGAACUCCAUUCUUGUAAAUCUCUUAGUUGCUUCUUUAUUUCAUCUUCCCUAUUCCAUCUAAUGUUCCCUGAAUUUUACUAUUUUGUUGGUUUGAAAAUAUGUGUGACUUACGUCCUUUAAAGGAUUUGGUUCGUAAGGUUUUGAAUAGACUGGAAUAUAAAACAUUUAUAGAAAAGAAAAAUACCUACAGUAUGAUGUUAGUGAACUAUUAAUAAUCCAAUUAAAUAAAAUAUAUUUGCUUUGGAUUAAUACA
RNAcentral lists this long non-coding RNA (826 nucleotides) under Homo sapiens (human). Its description in RNAcentral is "long intergenic non-protein coding RNA 158". The record is from RNAcentral. Lineage: Eukaryota; Metazoa; Chordata; Mammalia; Primates; Hominidae.